GACCCGAAACCCGGUGAUCUAGCCAUGGGCAGGUUGAAGGUUGGGUAACACUAACUGGAGGACCGAACCGACUAAUGUUGAAAAAUUAGCGGAUGACCUGUGGCUGGGGGUGAAAGGCCAAUCAAACCGGGAGAUAGCUGGUUCUCCCCGAAAGCUAUUUAGGUAGCGCCUCGUGAAUUCAUCUCCGGGGGUAGAGCACUGUUUCGGCUAGGGGGCCAUCCCGGCUUACCAACCCGAUGCAAACUGCGAAUACCGGAGAAUGUUAUCACGGGAGACACACGGCGGGUGCUAACGUCCGUCGUGAAGAGGGAAACAACCCAGACCGCCAGCUAAGGUCCCAAAGUCAUGGUUAAGUGGGAAACGAUGUGGGAAGGCCCAGACAGCCAGGAUGUUGGCUUAGAAGCAGCCAUCAUUUAAAGAAAGCGUAAUAGCUCACUGGUCGAGUCGGCCUGCGCGGAAGAUGUAACGGGGCUAAACCAUGCACCGAAGCUGCGGCAGCGAACGUAUCACCCAAGACAACUUUACGGAGUUGACGAUUGACGGAGCGAAGCGACGUCAAAGCGUUCAUUAAAGUCGAGUUGGCUUAGGGAUACGUUCGUUGGGUAGGGGAGCGUUCUGUAAGCCUGUGAAGGUGUGUCGUGAGGCAUGCUGGAGGUAUCAGAAGUGCGAAUGCUGACAUAAGUAACGAUAAAGCGGGUGAAAAGCCCGCUCGCCGGAAGACCAAGGGUUCCUGUCCAACGUUAAUCGGGGCAGGGUGAGUCGACCCCUAAGGCGAGGCCGAAAGGCGUAGUCGAUGGGAAACGGGUUAAUAUUCCCGUACUUGGUGUUACUGCGAAGGGGGGACGGAGAAGGCUAUGUUGGCCGGGCGACGGUUGUCCCGGUUUAAGCGUGUAGGUGUGUGUUCCAGGUAAAUCCGGUUCACUUUAACACUGAGGCGUGACGACGAGGCACUACGGUGCUGAAGCAACAAAUGCCCUGCUUCCAGGAAAAGCCUCUAAGCAUCAGGUAACAC
RNAcentral lists this ribosomal RNA (1012 nucleotides) under Salmonella enterica subsp. enterica serovar Typhimurium. Its description in RNAcentral is "partial 23S ribosomal RNA". It matches the Rfam family "Bacterial large subunit ribosomal RNA", at positions 712 to 1637 of the family's 2925-position model. The record is from RNAcentral. Lineage: Bacteria; Pseudomonadati; Pseudomonadota; Gammaproteobacteria; Enterobacterales; Enterobacteriaceae.